UCCUACGGGAGGCAGCAGUGAGGAAUAUUGGUCAAUGGACGAAAGUCUGAACCAGCCAUGCCGCGUGAAGGAAUAAGGCCCUAUGGGUCGUAAACUUCUUUUGUAUGUGAGCAAUAAGGUCCACGUGUGGACCGAUGAGAGUAGCAUACGAAUAAGCAUCGGCUAACUCCGUGCCAGCAGCCGCGGUAAUACGGAGGAUGCAAGC
This 205-nucleotide ribosomal RNA is filed under the name uncultured bacterium. RNAcentral describes it as "partial 16S ribosomal RNA". It matches the Rfam family "Bacterial small subunit ribosomal RNA", at positions 337 to 539 of the family's 1533-position model. The record is from RNAcentral.